Molecule: non-coding RNA, 557 nt
Organism: Oryctolagus cuniculus (rabbit)
Lineage: Eukaryota; Metazoa; Chordata; Mammalia; Lagomorpha; Leporidae
Source: RefSeq, a predicted model, not a curated record
GCUGCCAUUCUUUUCCGUAUUUUCACAAGACUUUUUAUAUCUGGAGAAACCUGUUAAAGAGAAAAAUAUCUCCAUACAAUCAGUCAAGAAUUAAAUACAGGCUAGAAAGCUACAGAAUAUUUUGUUUAUUUUCCUCUCAGUGAGGUCACAGAAUGAGAUAUCUGAAUUCCUCUUCAUAACAUAGUGAGCAAGGUGAUCAAUCCAUCCUUACACUAGAACUCCCCGUCUGUCUAUAACACAGUGAGCAAGGUGAUCAAUCCAUCCUUACGCUAGAACUCCCCGUCUGUCUAUAACACAGUGAGCAAGGUGAUCAAUCCAUCCUUACGCUAGAACUCCCCGUCUGUCUAUAACACAGUGAGCAAGGUGAUCAAUCCAUCCUUACACUAGAACUCCCCGUCUGUCUAUAACACAGUGAGCAAGGUGAUCAAUCCAUCCUUACGCUAGAACUCGCCGUCUGUUUCUGUGUGCAGGGGAAAGGAGGCAUGCACAAGAGGAAGCAUGCGGGGCACUGGGGACCAAAUCAAGGAUUUUCUCGUUUAGCCUCAGAGCAAUGAGAU